RNAcentral lists this ribosomal RNA (119 nucleotides) under Propithecus coquereli (Coquerel's sifaka). The record is from RNAcentral. Lineage: Eukaryota; Metazoa; Chordata; Mammalia; Primates; Indriidae.
GUCUAUGGCCAUAUCACCCUGAACGAGCCCGAUCUCAUCAGAUCAUGGAAGCUAAGCAGGGUUGGGCCUGGUUAGUAUUUGGAUGGGAGAAGUCAGAGGAAAAACUGGUUUGAGAGGAA